This 492-nucleotide ribosomal RNA is filed under the name uncultured bacterium. RNAcentral's name for it is "partial 16S ribosomal RNA". It matches the Rfam family "Bacterial small subunit ribosomal RNA", at positions 30 to 507 of the family's 1533-position model. The record is from RNAcentral.
AUUGAACGCUGGCGGCAUGCUUUACACAUGCAAGUCGAACGGUAACAGGCCUUCGGGUGCUGACGAGUGGCGAACGGGUGAGUAAUGCAUCGGAACGUGCCCAGUGGUUGUGGAUAACGCAGCGCAAGCUGUGAUAAUACCUCAUGUGAUCUGAGGAUGAAAGCGGGGGACUACGCAGCAAUGUUUGGCUUCGCGCCUUUGGAACGGCCGAUGUCGGAUUAGGUAGUUGGUGGGGUAAAGGCUUACCAAGCCGACGCUCUGUAGCUGGUCUGAGAGGACGACCAGCCACACUGGGACUGAGACACGGCCCAGACUCCUACGGGAGGCAGCAGUGGGGAAUUUUGGGCAAUGGGCGCAAGCUUGAUCCAGCAAUGCCGCGUGCGGGAAGAAGGCCUUCGGGUUGUAAACCGCUGUUGUACGGAACGAACAGGCGCUGGCUAAUACCUGGGGCUGAUGACGGUACCGUAAGAAUAAGCACCGGCUAACUACGUG